RNAcentral lists this ribosomal RNA (274 nucleotides) under uncultured bacterium. RNAcentral's name for it is "partial 16S ribosomal RNA". It matches the Rfam family "Bacterial small subunit ribosomal RNA", at positions 523 to 796 of the family's 1533-position model. The record is from RNAcentral.
AUACGGAGGGUGCAAGCGUUAUUCGGAAUCACUGGGCGUAAAGGGUGCGUAGGCGGUUUGGUAAGUCUGAUGUGAAAUCCUAUGGCUCAACCAUAGAACUGCAUUGGAAACUGCUAAACUAGAAUACUGAAGGGGCAGAUGGAAUUAGUGGUGUAGGGGUAAAAUCCGUAGAUAUCACUAGGAAUACCGAAAGCGAAAGCGAUCUGCUGGGAAGUUAUUGACGCUGAGGCACGAAAGCGUGGGGAGCAAACGGGAUUAGAAACCCUAGUAGUCC